Molecule: non-coding RNA, 23 nt
Filed under: Drosophila melanogaster (fruit fly)
Lineage: Eukaryota; Metazoa; Arthropoda; Insecta; Diptera; Drosophilidae
Source: RNAcentral
UUAGUAAUUCAAGAGGACUGGCU